GAUGAACGCUGGCGGCGUGCCUAAUACAUGCAAGUCGAGCGAACGGACGAGAAGCUUGCUUCUCUGAUGUUAGCGGCGGACGGGUGAGUAACACGUGGAUAACCUACCUAUAAGACUGGGAUAACUUCGGGAAACCGGAGCUAAUACCGGAUAAUAUUUUGAACCGCAUGGUUCAAAAGUGAAAGACGGUCUUGCUGUCACUUAUAGAUGGAUCCGCGCUGCAUUAGCUAGUUGGUAAGGUAACGGCUUACCAAGGCAACGAUGCAUAGCCGACCUGAGAGGGUGAUCGGCCACACUGGAACUGAGACACGGUCCAGACUCCUACGGGAGGCAGCAGCAGGGAAUCUUCCGCAAUGGGCGAAAGCCUGACGGAGCAACGCCGCGUGAGUGAUGAAGGUCUUCGGAUCGUAAAACUCUGUUAUUAGGGAAGAACAUAUGUGUAAGUAACUGUGCACAUCUUGACGGUACCUAAUCAGAAAGCCACGGCGAACUACGU
Molecule: ribosomal RNA, 496 nt
Filed under: uncultured bacterium
Lineage: Bacteria
Description: partial 16S ribosomal RNA
Rfam family: Bacterial small subunit ribosomal RNA
Source: RNAcentral